Molecule: ribosomal RNA, 603 nt
Filed under: uncultured bacterium
Lineage: Bacteria
Description: bacterial SSU rRNA
Rfam family: Bacterial small subunit ribosomal RNA
Source: RNAcentral
AGAGUUUGAUCCUGGCUCAGAUUGAACGCUGGCGGCAUGCCUUACACAUGCAAGUCGAACGGUAACGCGGGGCAACCUGGCGACGAGUGGCGAACGGGUGAGUAAUACAUCGGAACGUGCCCAGUAGUGGGGGAUAGCCCGGCGAAAGCCGGAUUAAUACCGCAUACGACCUACGGGUGAAAGUGGGGGAUCGCAAGACCUCACGCUAUUGGAGCGGCCGAUGUCAGAUUAGGUAGUUGGUGGGGUAAAAGCCUACCAAGCCGACGAUCUGUAGCUGGUCUGAGAGGACGACCAGCCACACUGGGACUGAGACACGGCCCAGACUCCUACGGGAGGCAGCAGUGGGGAAUUUUGGACAAUGGGCGAAAGCCUGAUCCAGCCAUGCCGCGUGCGGGAAGAAGGCCUUCGGGUUGUAAACCGCUUUUGUCAGGGAAGAAACGGCUUAAUCUAAUAAAUUGAGCUAAUGACGGUACCUGAAGAAUAAGCACCGGCUAACUACGUGCCAGCAGCCGCGGUAAUACGUAGGGUGCAAGCGUUAAUCGGAAUUACUGGGCGUAAAGCGUGCGCAGGCGGCUUUGCAAGACAGAUGUGAAAUCCCCGGGC